ACCCGCGUACAUGCCACCGGGGCAUCCCGGAGGCAGGAAAGGCUUCGGCCGGACAGGGAUGGGCAUGCGGCGCAUUAGGCAGUAGGCGGGGUAACGGCCCACCUAACCGACGAUGCGUAGGGGUUCUGAGAGGAAGGUCCCCCACACUGGUACUGAGACACGGACCAGACUCCUACGGGAGGCAGCAGUGAGGAAUAUUGGUCAAUGGUCGGGAGACUGAACCAGCCAAGCCGCGUGAGGGAUGAAGGCACAGAGUAUCGUAAACCUCUUUUGUCAGGGAACAAAGGCGGGGACGUGUCCCCGGAUGAGUGUACCUGAAGAAAAAGCAUCGGCUAACUCCGUGCCUGCAGCCGCGGUAAUACGGAGGAUGCGAGCGUUAUCCGGAUUUAUUGGGUUUAAAGGGUGCGCAGGCGGUCUGUUAAGUCAGCGGUCAAAGCCCGGGGCUCAACCCCGGUCCGCCGUUGAAACUGGCAGUCUCGAGUUGGAGAGAAGUAUGCGGAAUGCGCGGUGUAGCGGUGAAAUGCAUAGAUAUCGCGCAGAACUCCGAUUGCGAAGGCAGCAUGCCGGCUCCACACUGACGCUGAGGCACGAAAGCGUGGGUAUCGAACAAGAUUAGAUACCCUGGUAGUCCACGCAGUAAACG
This 643-nucleotide ribosomal RNA is filed under the name uncultured bacterium. RNAcentral's name for it is "bacterial SSU rRNA". It matches the Rfam family "Bacterial small subunit ribosomal RNA", at positions 167 to 808 of the family's 1533-position model. The record is from RNAcentral.